This 301-nucleotide ribosomal RNA is filed under the name uncultured bacterium. RNAcentral describes it as "partial 16S ribosomal RNA". It matches the Rfam family "Bacterial small subunit ribosomal RNA", at positions 509 to 807 of the family's 1533-position model. The record is from RNAcentral.
CAGUAGCCACGGUAAUACGGAGGGAGCUAGCGUUGUUCGGAAUUACUGGGCGUAAAGCGCACGUAGGCGGCUUUGUAAGUUAGAGGUGAAAGCCUGGAGCUCAACUCCAGAAUUGCCUUUAAGACUGCAUCGCUUGAAUCCAGGAGAGGUGAGUGGAAUUCCGAGUGUAGAGGUGAAAUUCGUAGAUAUUCGGAAGAACACCAGUGGCGAAGGCGGCUCACUGGACUGGUAUUGACGCUGAGGUGCGAAAGCGUGGGGAGCAAACAGGAUUAGAUACCCCGGUAGUCCCUGUCUCUUAUAC